RNAcentral lists this transfer RNA (55 nucleotides) under Fragilariopsis kerguelensis. RNAcentral describes it as "partial tRNA". The record is from RNAcentral. Lineage: Eukaryota; Bacillariophyta; Bacillariophyceae; Bacillariales; Bacillariaceae.
UAAGUGGUCAGCGUAGUUGCCUUUCACGUAGGAUACUACGGUUCGAGUCCCUGUA